GGGGUAACAAUUCUUUGUUAUUUUUGUUCUAGAAAACAUCUGGAAGAGCAUCACAUGAAAUGAGAAUACACGUGUGGCUGGCGUGGGCUCUGACUGUUGUGCCGUGUCUCUGCUACGGGAUUGAAGUUAUUCAAGAGCCCAGGUUAUUAGUACUCCACGCCGAUAAAGAGGUGAUACUUCACUGCAGACACAAUGAUGAUAGCUACUACAACAUGCUCUGGUACCGGCAGAAACCGGGAGAGGGACUGAAGCUUAUGGUGUAUUCCGUAAAUGAGGGUUCUGAAGAUAUGGAAUCUGACUUUAAAGACAGAUGGUCCAUCAGAAGAAGACAUGUGCGGAAUUCCACUCUUUAUUUGCAGAAAGCACAGAGAGGAGACUCGGCUGUGUAUUUCUGUGCAUCGAGUACACAGCGUCACAGAGCAAAGGAACACCUGCCAAAAAAUCCUCGGGGCUGA
Non-coding RNA from Spea bombifrons (plains spadefoot toad), 455 nucleotides. The record is from the annotation of a RefSeq genome assembly. Lineage: Eukaryota; Metazoa; Chordata; Amphibia; Anura; Pelobatidae.